UACGUAGGUGGCGAGCGUUGUCCGGAUUUACUGGGCGUAAAGGGAGCGUAGGCGGAUUUUUAAGUGAGAUGUGAAAUACUCGGGCUCAACUUGAGUGCUGCAUUUCAAACUGGAGGUCUAGAGUGCAGGAGAGGAGAAUGGAAUUCCUAGUGUAGCGGUGAAAUGCGUAGAGAUUGGGAAGAACACCAGUGGCGAAGGCGAUUCUCUGGACUGUAACUGACGCUGAGGCUCGAAAGCGUGGGGAGCAAACAGG
RNAcentral lists this ribosomal RNA (253 nucleotides) under uncultured bacterium. RNAcentral's name for it is "partial 16S ribosomal RNA". It matches the Rfam family "Bacterial small subunit ribosomal RNA", at positions 524 to 776 of the family's 1533-position model. The record is from RNAcentral.